Molecule: ribosomal RNA, 1925 nt
Filed under: Vexillifera multispinosa
Lineage: Eukaryota; Discosea; Flabellinia; Dactylopodida; Vexilliferidae
Description: partial small subunit ribosomal RNA
Rfam family: Eukaryotic small subunit ribosomal RNA
Source: RNAcentral
ACCUGGUUGAUCCUGCCAGUUGUCAUAUGCUUGUCUAAAAGAUUAAGCCAUGCAAGUGUAAGUAUAAAUAGACAAAUUAUUGUACUAUGAGACUGCGAAUGGCUCAUUAAAUCAGCAAUCAUUUAUUCGGUGGAUGAAGUAAUUCUAAAAUGGAUAACCGUGGGAAAUCUAGAGCUAAUACAUGCAAAAGAGAAUUCUUUUGAAAAAAGGAAUGCAUAUAUUAGAUACAAAUCCAAAAAUACAAAGGUGAAUCAUAAUAUUUAUAGCAAAUCAUAUAGAAAAAAUUUAUUUUUUUUUGAUGAUAAACCGAUCAAAUUUCUGCCCUAUCAUACUUUGGACGGUAAUGUAGUGGAUUACGGUGGUGAUGACGGGUAACGGAGAAUUAGGGUUUGAUUCCGGAGAGGGAGCAUGAGAAAUGGCUACCACUUCCAAGGAAGGCAGCAGGCGCGUAAAUUACCCAAUCCUAAAACAGGGAGGUAGUGACGAUAAAUAACAAUGAUUCAAUGAUAACAAAGUUGAAUUAAUUGGAAUGAGAACAAUAUAAAUCCCUUAUCGAGUAACAAUUUCAGGGCAAGUUCUGGUGCCAGCAGCCGCGGUAAUUCCAGCUGAAAAAGCGUAUACGAAUAUUGUUGCAGUUAAAACGCUCGUAGUUGGAAUAAAAUAUGGUAUUGUAUUUUUUUUAUUUUAAAACGGUAAAAAAGUAUAGAAUAUCAUUUUUUUAAUUUUAUAUAUAAAAAGUAAUUUUUAUAUAUAUAUUUUACUUUGAAUAAAUUAGAGUGCUUUAAGCAGAUUAAAAUAUUAUUUUUAAUAUUUUUUUUGAUGUUUGAAUAAUUUAGCAUAGAAUAAAAUAAUAAGAUUUGAAAGAUAAGAUUUGGUAAUUAUGUAGCAAAUAAUGAUAAAUAGGAAUAGUUGGGGGUAUUUGUAUUGAAUAGUCAGAGGUGAAAUUCAAGGAUUUGUUCAAGACAAACAUCAGCGAAAGCAUUUACCAAAGAUAUUUCCAUUAAUCAAGAACGAAAGUUAGGGGAUCGAAGAUGAUCAGAUACCGUCGUAGUCCUAACCAUAAACAAUACCAACCAAAGAUAAGAGGUUGUAAAUACAAGAGAGAAAAAGUGAUUUUUUUUCUCUUGAACCAACUCCUUUUGAAUUUUAGAGGGAAACCAUUGAGUAUUUGGGUUCUGGGGGGAGUACGGUAGCAAGGCUGAAACUUGAAGGAAUUGACGGAAGGGCACCACCAGGUGUGGAACCUGCGGCUUAAUUCGACUCAACACGGGAAAACUUACCAGGUCCGGACACAGGAAGGAUUGACAGAUUGAUAGCUCUUUCUUAAUUUCUGUGGGUGGUGGUGCAUGGCCGUUCUUAGUUCGUGGAACUGAUCUGUCAGCUUAAUUGCGUUAACGAACGAGACCUUUAAUUAUUAAUUAGUUAAAUAUAUAGCAAUAUAUACUUUAAAAACAAAGAGUUUUAUCUCUUUUUUUUCAUGACUUCUUAAAAUAACAAUUGGUGAUUAACCAAAGUAAGUUAAAGGCAAUAACAGGUCUGUGAUGCCCUUUAGAUGUUCUGGGCUGCACGCGCGUUACACUGAAAAUAUCAAUAAGUUUUUAUAUAUCAAAACACAUUAUUAUAAUUUGUUUUGAUAUGUCCUUGAUUGAAAAAUUUGGGUAAACUUGAUAACUAUUUUCGUGAUGGGGAUUGAUAAUUGUAAUUAUUUAUCAUGAACGAGGAAUACCUAGUAAACGCAAGUCAUUAACUUGCAUUGAUUACGUCCCUGCCCUUUGUACACACCGCCCGUCGCUCCUACCGAUGAAAAGUCCGAUGAAAUAUUGGGAGAUCGUGGGCACCCAGUGCACAUAUCAAACAUUAUUAAAUCUUAUUUUUUAGAGGAAGGAGAAGUCGUAACAAGGUAUCCGUAGGUGAACCUGCGGAAG